This 465-nucleotide ribosomal RNA is filed under the name Vreelandella stevensii. RNAcentral's name for it is "partial 16S ribosomal RNA". It matches the Rfam family "Bacterial small subunit ribosomal RNA", at positions 338 to 795 of the family's 1533-position model. The record is from RNAcentral. Lineage: Bacteria; Pseudomonadati; Pseudomonadota; Gammaproteobacteria; Oceanospirillales; Halomonadaceae.
CCUACGGGUGGCUGCAGUGGGGAAUAUUGGACAAUGGGGGCAACCCUGAUCCAGCCAUGCCGCGUGUGUGAAGAAGGCCCUCGGGUUGUAAAGCACUUUCAGUGAGGAAGAACGCCUGGUGGUUAAUACCCAUCAGGAAAGACAUCACUCACAGAAGAAGCACCGGCUAACUCCGUGCCAGCAGCCGCGGUAAUACGGAGGGUGCGAGCGUUAAUCGGAAUUACUGGGCGUAAAGCGCGCGUAGGUGGCUUGAUAAGCCGGUUGUGAAAGCCCCGGGCUCAACCUGGGAACGGCAUCCGGAACUGUCAAGCUAGAGUGCAGGAGAGGAAGGUAGAAUUCCCGGUGUAGCGGUGAAAUGCGUAGAGAUCGGGAGGAAUACCAGUGGCGAAGGCGGCCUUCUGGACUGACACUGACACUGAGGUGUGAAAGCGUGGGUAGCAAACAGGAUUAGAUACCCUAGUAGUC